This 445-nucleotide ribosomal RNA is filed under the name uncultured Luteimonas sp. RNAcentral describes it as "bacterial SSU rRNA". It matches the Rfam family "Bacterial small subunit ribosomal RNA", at positions 338 to 775 of the family's 1533-position model. Lineage: Bacteria; Pseudomonadati; Pseudomonadota; Gammaproteobacteria; Lysobacterales; Lysobacteraceae. The record is from RNAcentral.
CCUACGGGAGGCAGCAGUGGGGAAUAUUGGACAAUGGGCGCAAGCCUGAUCCAGCCAUGCCGCGUGUGUGAAGAAGGCCUUCGGGUUGUAAAGCACUUUUGUACGGGAAGAAACACGGCCGGCGAAUACCCGGCUGGACUGACGGUACCGUAAGAAUAAGCACCGGCUAACUUCGUGCCAGCAGCCGCGGUAAUACGAAGGGUGCAAGCGUUACUCGGAAUUACUGGGCGUAAAGCGUGCGCAGGUGGUGCGUUAAGUCCGAUGUGAAAGCCCUGGGCUCAACCUGGGAAUGGCAUUGGAUACUGGCGUGCUCGAGUACGGUAGAGGGUGGCGGAAUUCCCGGUGUAGCAGUGAAAUGCGUAGAGAUCGGGAGGAACAUCCGUGGCGAAGGCGGCCACCUGGACCAGUACUGACACUGAGGCACGAAAGCGUGGGGAGCAAACAG